UCUUUCCUUCUUCUUUCUUCUUCUCUUCUGUUCUUUUUCUUUUCUUCCCUAUUGAUCUCAGUUCAGAAGAACUGAGUUAUCUUGUGUGAAUUAUUCAUAAAAAAUUAGUUAGUUUGAUAAAUCGAAGUAUAUGAAGCUAGAACUGAAGUUGUUUGAGCUCCAGGAGAAGAAGAAGAUGAUGUUGAUGUUGAAUUGGAGUUAAGGUUUCUGGAGUUACGAUUCGUGUAGAACUGAUGAUGUUAUUGUGUCGUUGUGGGAUGAAGAAUUGAGGGAUUGUUGUUGAUUUGACUAGGUGAUGCUGUUCUGAUGAUGAAUCGAAAAGAAAAGGGUCCUGUGAUCUGAAGAUGGAGAUGAACUUGAUGUUGGCUAGCCAGAUAAAAUGGUUAUGGUUGUGGUACUGUUGAACUGAAGUUGCAGCUGGUGGUGAUAUUGUGAAUUUUUAACUAAAUUGAAGAGCAAGAUGAAUAUUAGAAUAUCACAGAGAUGUUUGAAAUGAGAUUCAUUGUGCAGGUAGUAUUGUGUAGGAAGUGUUAUAAUUUAUGGUUGGUGGAAAAGAAGAAAGAAUGUUUGGUUUCUGAAAUUGUGGCUGUAGAUAAAGUCGAAUAUCAGAGUGGUGGGGAUGCUGCUGGAUUGAAUUGAUGGGUUGAUGACUUAUAUAGAAUCUGUAUUGGUAGUUUUAUUGAGUUGCAAAUGAAGCUACCGAAUUGCCAAGAACUCGACUGGGUUAGUGGUAACGAAUUUAUGGAAGUAGUUACAAGUGGAGCUGCAAAUUAUUAUGGUGCUGGUGGUUUUGAAUGUAUGAUGCCUGUAAUGAAAAGAUGGAACUCCAAGUAGUGGUGUAGAACUGAGAUGAACUGAGACAGAUGAGAAGAUAAUUGAAGUUGUAACUCGUAGUGUUUGCAAUCAUGGAGUGAACUGGUGGUGAAGGGACUAGGUAUGCAAAGGUAUUGGUGAUGUUGUUGCUGCUGUUUUGAAGAUAUGAAAAGUGGCUGCAUUUUGAGUUACGGUUUCAAAAGAAGUCCAAAGAAGAAUUACAGGUUUUGGAAGAAUGUUUUAUGUACAUAUGAAGACUGGAUUGUUGACUUGAGUGUAUUUGAAGUUGAGUUGGGUGGUGUAUUGGAAUUGAUGCAAAUGAUGAUGGUAGUAUUUUAACUGAAAUUUCAAUGUAGGAAGAUUGAACUGAAUGUGUGACUGAAGUGAUGUAGUUGAAGUUAAUCUGGUUGAAUGAAUUAAUGAAGUAGAGUUAGGUCGAUGGCUGUAGUCUUGGCAUGUUUUGCAUUAUAUAUUGUUUGUGCAUUUUGAGUA
This is a long non-coding RNA of Papaver somniferum (opium poppy), 1305 nucleotides long. RefSeq lists it as uncharacterized. NCBI's taxonomy places the organism in Eukaryota, Viridiplantae, Streptophyta, Magnoliopsida, Ranunculales, Papaveraceae. The record is from RefSeq and is a predicted model, not a curated record. The transcript is spliced from 2 exons.